CUGAUGCAGCGACGCCGCGUGCGGGAUGAGGCCUUCGGGUUGUAAACCGCUUUCAGCAGGGACGAGGCGAAAGUGACGGUACCUGCAGAAGAAGCCCCGGCUAACUACGUGCCAGCAGCCGCGGUAAUACGUAGGGGGCAAGCGUUAUCCGGAUUCAUUGGGCGUAAAGCGCUCGUAGGCGGUCUGUUAGGUCGGGAGUUAAAUCCGGGGGCUCAACCCCCGUUCGCUCCCGAUACCGGCAGACUUGAGUUUGGUAGGGGAAGGUGGAAUUCCUAGUGUAGCGGUGGAAUGCGCAGAUAUUAGGAAGAACACCAGUGGCGAAGGCGGCCUUCUGGGCCAUAACUGACGCUGAGGAGCGAAAGCUAGGGGAGCAAACA
RNAcentral lists this ribosomal RNA (377 nucleotides) under Lancefieldella parvula. RNAcentral describes it as "bacterial SSU rRNA". It matches the Rfam family "Bacterial small subunit ribosomal RNA", at positions 383 to 774 of the family's 1533-position model. The record is from RNAcentral. Lineage: Bacteria; Bacillati; Actinomycetota; Coriobacteriia; Coriobacteriales; Atopobiaceae.